GUGUCAGCAGCCGCGGUAAUACGUAGGCAGCGAGCGUUGUUCGGAGUUACUGGGCGUAAAGGGUGCGUAGGCGGCCGAUUAAGUUUGUCGUGAAAUCUCCCGGCUUAACUGGGAGGGUGCGGCGAAUACUGACCGGCUCGAGUGUGGGAGAGGAGAGUGGAAUUCCUGGUGUAGCGGUGAAAUGCGUAGAUAUCAGGAGGAACACCGGCGGUGUAGACGGCUCUCUGGACCAUAACUGACGCUGAGGCACGAAAGCGUGGGUAGCAAACAGGAUUAGAAACCCCGGUAGUCC
Molecule: ribosomal RNA, 292 nt
Filed under: uncultured bacterium
Lineage: Bacteria
Description: partial 16S ribosomal RNA
Rfam family: Bacterial small subunit ribosomal RNA
Source: RNAcentral